This 1327-nucleotide ribosomal RNA is filed under the name Escherichia coli. RNAcentral describes it as "partial 23S ribosomal RNA". It matches the Rfam family "Bacterial large subunit ribosomal RNA", at positions 1491 to 2798 of the family's 2925-position model. The record is from RNAcentral. Lineage: Bacteria; Pseudomonadati; Pseudomonadota; Gammaproteobacteria; Enterobacterales; Enterobacteriaceae.
CCGGGCGACGGUUGUCCCGGUUUAAGCGUGUAGGCUGGUUUUCCAGGCAAAUCCGGAAAAUCAAGGCUGAGGCGUGAUGACGAGGCACUACGGUGCUGAAGCAACAAAUGCCCUGCUUCCAGGAAAAGCCUCUAAGCAUCAGGUAACAUCAAAUCGUACCCCAAACCGACACAGGUGGUCAGGUAGAGAAUACCAAGGCGCUUGAGAGAACUCGGGUGAAGGAACUAGGCAAAAUGGUGCCGUAACUUCGGGAGAAGGCACGCUGAUAUGUAGGUGAAGUCCCUCGCGGAUGGAGCUGAAAUCAGUCGAAGAUACCAGCUGGCUGCAACUGUUUAUUAAAAACACAGCACUGUGCAAACACGAAAGUGGACGUAUACGGUGUGACGCCUGCCCGGUGCCGGAAGGUUAAUUGAUGGGGUCAGCGCAAGCGAAGCUCUUGAUCGAAGCCCCGGUAAACGGCGGCCGUAACUAUAACGGUCCUAAGGUAGCGAAAUUCCUUGUCGGGUAAGUUCCGACCUGCACGAAUGGCGUAAUGAUGGCCAGGCUGUCUCCACCCGAGACUCAGUGAAAUUGAACUCGCUGUGAAGAUGCAGUGUACCCGCGGCAAGACGGAAAGACCCCGUGAACCUUUACUAUAGCUUGACACUGAACAUUGAGCCUUGAUGUGUAGGAUAGGUGGGAGGCUUAGAAGUGUGGACGCCAGUCUGCAUGGAGCCGACCUUGAAAUACCACCCUUUAAUGUUUGAUGUUCUAACGUUGACCCGUAAUCCGGGUUGCGGACAGUGUCUGGUGGGUAGUUUGACUGGGGCGGUCUCCUCCUAAAGAGUAACGGAGGAGCACGAAGGUUGGCUAAUCCUGGUCGGACAUCAGGAGGUUAGUGCAAUGGCAUAAGCCAGCUUGACUGCGAGCGUGACGGCGCGAGCAGGUGCGAAAGCAGGUCAUAGUGAUCCGGUGGUUCUGAAUGGAAGGGCCAUCGCUCAACGGAUAAAAGGUACUCCGGGGAUAACAGGCUGAUACCGCCCAAGAGUUCAUAUCGACGGCGGUGUUUGGCACCUCGAUGUCGGCUCAUCACAUCCUGGGGCUGAAGUAGGUCCCAAGGGUAUGGCUGUUCGCCAUUUAAAGUGGUACGCGAGCUGGGUUUAGAACGUCGUGAGACAGUUCGGUCCCUAUCUGCCGUGGGCGCUGGAGAACUGAGGGGGGCUGCUCCUAGUACGAGAGGACCGGAGUGGACGCAUCACUGGUGUUCGGGUUGUCAUGCCAAUGGCACUGCCCGGUAGCUAAAUGCGGAAGAGAUAAGUGCUGAAAGCAUCUAAGCACGAAACUUGCC